GACGAACGCUGGCGGCGUGCUUAACACAUGCAAGUCGAACGGUAAGGCCCUUCGGGGUACACGAGUGGCGAACGGGUGAGUAACACGUGGGUGAUCUGCCCUGCACUUCGGGAUAAGCCUGGGAAACUGGGUCUAAUACCGGAUAGGACCACUGCCUGCAGGGGGGGUGGUGGAAAGCCUUUGCGGUGUGGGAGGGGCCCGCGACCUAUCAGCUUGUUGGUGGGGUGAUGGCCUACCAAGGCGACGACGGGUAGCCGGCCUGAGAGGGUGACCGGCCACACUGGGACUGAGAUACGGCCCAGACUCCUACGGGAGGCAGCAGUGGGGAAUAUUGCACAAUGGGCGCAAGCCUGAUGCAGCGACGCCGCGUGAGGGAUGACGGCCUUCGGGUUGUAAACCUCUUUCAGCACCGACGAAGCGCAAGUGACGGUAGGUGCAGAAGAAGGACCGGCCAACUACGUGCCAGCCGCCGCCGUAA
This 478-nucleotide ribosomal RNA is filed under the name uncultured bacterium. RNAcentral's name for it is "partial 16S ribosomal RNA". It matches the Rfam family "Bacterial small subunit ribosomal RNA", at positions 28 to 523 of the family's 1533-position model. The record is from RNAcentral.